AAAUUGAAGAGUUUGAUCAUGGCUCAGAUUGAACGCUGGCGGCAGGCCUAACACAUGCAAGUCGAACGGUAGCACAGAGAGCUUGCUCUCGGGUGACGAGUGGCGGACGGGUGAGUAAUGUCUGGGAAACUGCCUGAUGGAGGGGGAUAACUACUGGAAACGGUGGCUAAUACCGCAUAACGUCGCAAGACCAAAGAGGGGGACCUUCGGGCCUCUUGCCAUCAGAUGUGCCCAGAUGGGAUUAGCUUGUUGGUGAGGUAAUGGCUCACCAAGGCGACGAUCCCUAGCUGGUCUGAGAGGAUGACCAGCCACACUGGAACUGAGACACGGUCCAGACUCCUACGGGAGGCAGCAGUGGGGAAUAUUGCACAAUGGGCGCAAGCCUGAUGCAGCCAUGCCGCGUGUAUGAAGAAGGCCUUCGGGUUGUAAAGUACUUUCAGCGGGGAGGAAGGUGUUGUGGUUAAUAACCGCAGCAAUUGACGUUACCC
This 488-nucleotide ribosomal RNA is filed under the name Salmonella enterica. Its description in RNAcentral is "bacterial SSU rRNA". It matches the Rfam family "Bacterial small subunit ribosomal RNA", at positions 1 to 480 of the family's 1533-position model. The record is from RNAcentral. Lineage: Bacteria; Pseudomonadati; Pseudomonadota; Gammaproteobacteria; Enterobacterales; Enterobacteriaceae.